GUGCCAGCCGCCGCGGUAAUACGUAGGGUGCAAGCGUUAAUCGGAAUUACUGGGCGUAAAGCGUGCGCAGGCGGCUUUGCAAGACAGAUGUGAAAUCCCCGGGCUCAACCUGGGAACUGCAUUUGUGACUGCAAGGCUAGAGUACGGUAGAGGGGGAUGGAAUUCCGCGUGUAGCAGUGAAAUGCGUAGAUAUGCGGAGGAACACCGAUGGCGAAGGCAAUCCCCUGGACCUGUACUGACGCUCAUGCACGAAAGCGUGGGGAGCAAACAGGAUUAGAUACCCCAGUAGUCC
RNAcentral lists this ribosomal RNA (292 nucleotides) under uncultured bacterium. RNAcentral's name for it is "partial 16S ribosomal RNA". It matches the Rfam family "Bacterial small subunit ribosomal RNA", at positions 505 to 796 of the family's 1533-position model. The record is from RNAcentral.